CCCUUAGAUGUUCUGGACCGCACGCGUGCUACACUGAGUGGAUCAGCGGGUCAGGUUGCGCGAAAGUGUUUCCUAAUCUUGAAAUCCGCUCGUGAUGGGGAUUGACGGUUGCAAUUUUCCGUCAUGAACGAGGAAUACCUUGUAAGCGCGGGUCAUCAUCCCGCGCUGAAUACGUCCCUGCCCUUUGUACACACCGCCCGUCGCUCCUACCGAUUGAGUGGUCCGGUGAGGCUUUGGGAUCUGAGCAAAGAGAGCGUUUCGCUCGUUUUGCCCGGAAAACUCAGUCGAACCUUAUCAUUUAGAGGAAGGAGAAGUCGUAACA
This 322-nucleotide ribosomal RNA is filed under the name uncultured eukaryote. RNAcentral describes it as "partial 18S ribosomal RNA". It matches the Rfam family "Eukaryotic small subunit ribosomal RNA", at positions 1470 to 1796 of the family's 1831-position model. The record is from RNAcentral.